Molecule: unclassified non-coding RNA, 569 nt
Filed under: Patersonia glabrata
Lineage: Eukaryota; Viridiplantae; Streptophyta; Magnoliopsida; Asparagales; Iridaceae
Description: partial miscellaneous RNA
Source: RNAcentral
AAAAAAAGGGUUAAGGACUUUCCCCGGAUUAAUGUAUACGGARUCGUUGAAAGAAUCCAUACCCAAUAUGAUAUAUUUAAAGUAUUGGGUAUGGAUUCUCUUUUUUUAUCCAAAAUUAACGACGAGAUUUAUUAUCGUUUUUCGCAUGUCUCGCGAAAGUCAGAGGAGGCGCGAAUUCUCCUAAUUUAUGACCCACCAUACGAUCUGUUAUAUAAAUAGGUAAAUGUGCCUUUCCAUUAUGAAUAGCGAUUGUAUGGCCAAUCAUUGUGGGUAUAAUGGUAGAUGCCCGAGACCAAGUUACUAUUAUUUCUUUCUCCUCCCUCAUGUUGAGUUUUUCCAUUUUUCCCGAUAAAUGAUUGGCUACAAAAGGGUUUUUUUUUAGUGAACGUGUCACAGCUGAUUACUCCUUUUUUUACAUUUUAAAGAUUGGCAUUCUAUGUCCAAUAGAAUAUCUCGAUCGAAGUAUGAAGGUAAGAAUAAAUACCAUAAUGAUGAAUGGAAAAAAGAAAAAAUCCUUUUCUUGAUUAGGGGCGGAUGUACCCCAUUGGAUCAAGGCCGUGGAUUGUUAA